Molecule: long non-coding RNA, 548 nt
Organism: Harpia harpyja (harpy eagle)
Lineage: Eukaryota; Metazoa; Chordata; Aves; Accipitriformes; Accipitridae
Exons: 3
Source: RefSeq, a predicted model, not a curated record
CUGACUGUAAAUCUACAGCAGUCUAUUUAUCACUUUCACCAAGGCUAUUGCAAUGCAAACUGGCAAGAGAAUACAGCUGCCUGUGCCUGUACACAGAGCCUAGAGAUGGGUCAAAAGGUGAAUAUAAAUCAACAAUAUCGAGCUGCUGCAUAAAAGGCAAAGCCCGCAGUCCGAGGGAGAAAUGGAGCCGUGGCUGCGUGUGAAGUAGCCCCCAGCGCUGUGUGGGACAGUCACAUUCGGAAAGUUUUGGUUCCUGCACCUUGGUCACUUCAAAAUAAUAGCUUUGAAGUGUGUGGAGCUGUGGUGGAGUUUCCCUUCUGCCUCUCCAUUUGCACAUAUCUGCACUUUCUGCUGGCUACCAGUGGGACUGCACGGAGGCAUACCCUUGGUCUCUCUCCUGUAAGUGAAGUCAGUCCUAUGGAGACUCUGCCUCUGCCACUGCCCUCAGUGUUCUCAGUCUGCAGCAGGAGAAGCUGAUGCUGGAGCAGCCGCUGGAACUUCCCGUGGCUCUCCCAGAUCCCCGUUUCCGAAGGAUUUGAGUGCACAGA